GCGGAGGAAAAGAAACCAACAGGGAUUGCCCCAGUAACGGCGAGUGAAGCGGCAACAGCUCAAAUUUGAAAUCUGGUCCCCCCGCGGGGCCCGAGUUGUAAUUUGAAGAGGAUGCUUCUGGCAAGGUGCCGUCCGAGUUCCCUGGAACGGGACGCCGCAGAGGGUGAGAGCCCCGUACGGUCGGACGCCGAGCCUCUGUGAAGCUCCUUCGACGAGUCGAGUAGUUUGGGAAUGCUGCUCAAAAUGGGAGGUAAACCCCUUCUAAAGCUAAAUACCGGCCAGAGACCGAUAGCGCACAAGUAGAGUGAUCGAAAGAUGAAAAGCACUUUGAAAAGAGAGUUAAAAAGCACGUGAAAUUGUUGAAAGGGAAGCGCUUGCGACCAGACUCGCGCCCGUCGGAUCAGCCGUCGCUCGUCGGCGGCGCACUCCGGCGGGCUCGGGCCAGCAUCAGUUCGCCUCGGGGGGAGAAAGGCGGCGGGAAUGUGGCUCCACGGAGUGUUAUAGCCCACCGCGUAAUACC
RNAcentral lists this ribosomal RNA (520 nucleotides) under Microascus cirrosus. RNAcentral's name for it is "eukaryotic LSU rRNA". It matches the Rfam family "Eukaryotic large subunit ribosomal RNA", at positions 50 to 574 of the family's 3401-position model. The record is from RNAcentral. Lineage: Eukaryota; Fungi; Ascomycota; Sordariomycetes; Microascales; Microascaceae.